CUGACUCUGAUCCAGCGUCCAGCUCCUUGGCUCUACUACCGGCCGGUCGUCCAACAACAGUGGAGCUCGACUCAGAGAAUUUUUUUUUAUUUUUAGCCCAUUUUUAAAACAAAUUUCAAUUUUGACACGUUUUUGAAAAAAAUUUCAAAUCUAGGCCGUUUGGCCCCGCCACCAUGCAUGGCGGGACAAAAUCACUGCACCCCGCCAUGCAUGGUGGCGGGGUACACCCUGCCACGUGGCAUUUGCAUGG
Molecule: long non-coding RNA, 250 nt
Filed under: Sorghum bicolor (sorghum)
Lineage: Eukaryota; Viridiplantae; Streptophyta; Magnoliopsida; Poales; Poaceae
Description: long non-coding RNA (SBIC_LNC014973)
Source: RNAcentral